RNAcentral lists this long non-coding RNA (1337 nucleotides) under Rattus norvegicus (Norway rat). RNAcentral's name for it is "long non-coding RNA NONRATT018590". The record is from RNAcentral. Lineage: Eukaryota; Metazoa; Chordata; Mammalia; Rodentia; Muridae.
CUUGAACAUCCUGUGGCCCUGGCUCUGCCAGGGGAAGUGCUAACCUGAGAAAGAGGGAAGCCAUCAAGUUACUCAUGCUGACUCACAGGAGGGAUGCAGCCGUGGGAAUGCCUUGAUAUGUCACCUGUGCCUGAGGGUGGCUUUCUGCAGCCAGGUCCUGGGUCUCUAUGUCCUUUCAGUUUACUCAGGUCCCUGCACCAGGUAUCUGAUGGUGGCCUGCUUUCAGCACAUACCAUCCCUAGUCAUGGUCAUAGCAGUUCUUGCUUUUGUGUUUAAGCUGUCCUGCUGUGACACUGGGAAUAAGUUUCUGUCAAACAAUCAGACAAUAAAGAGGUGUGCAAGGAGCAAAUGAAGGAUGCAACUCUACCAGCACCGACCUUAACUUUGAAAUGUUUUUGAUAGAUAUUUAAACCACCACCACCCCCUUUUGUAAAAAUGUUAUAUAAUAAAUGUCAUUGUUUUCUUUCCAUUGGGUUUGGUAUUUCAACACCUGUAGAAAACCUUUGCUAUUGAGAAGUAUGCCAUUGAGUCUUGGCACAUUUUCUGAUAGCAAACAUUUUAGAAUAUAAAAACUAUUUGGCAGGGACAGGCAGUCUUAGAGUAGUGACCUGGUUGGUUUGUGGUUCUUCAGGACACUUGGUGAAUUCAGCUUUCCAGACAUCUUUAUCUCUCUUACUUUCUUUUUGGGUUCAAAUGUCCUAUGUCUGUAACAGAAGACUGAACUGACCUGAAAUAAUGAGGCUAGCAGUGGUAAGCUCGGAUUACUGGAGAUAAGACAGGGUUAAGAGACUCGACUUGUUAAUUGCUGGACCUUCGACUUUUACCCCUGAAGUUGUAUUUGCUGUCCUCUGCUUGGUCACUUUUUCCCCUUGUGGUACUGAAACAGCCAACAGUUCCUUUUCUCCAGCUGUUCAUGAUGCUCAGAGAGAGAAAGGAAAUGUUUUAGGAACAUGGCGUGAAGAACAUUCCUAUCCCAGAAGCAGAUGUGUUGAGCAUCUUGAUGUGACCCAAGCUGCAUGUCACCCUAUUCCUCAGUCCACCCCUCCUGUCACAGAGUAUCUUCCCUGAUUGUCUGAGGUCACGUGUCCUCGGCUGACCACUGUAUCUGUGGAGGAUAGGACUGCCUUGGCUGUUCUGGGCUAGGAUUCUCAAAGCCUGGCUCCUAAGCGGCAUUUUCCUGCCAGUGCUCCAGACCUGCUACUCAGAAAUGUGAGCUUGUCAGACCUUCAGAUGCGCUCUGAUCAUCUCCUGCUAAGAGUAAAUAGAUUCUAGUUCUGGGUUGAGAUCAGUCUCCUUGGAUGUUACACUGGGAGGAAAGAUGUGACAGUGGGUAUCUG